Molecule: unclassified non-coding RNA, 205 nt
Filed under: plant metagenome
Description: partial contains small subunit ribosomal RNA, internal transcribed spacer 1, and 5.8S ribosomal RNA
Rfam family: 5.8S ribosomal RNA (bases 158-205)
Source: RNAcentral
UAUCCGUAGGUGAACCUGCGGAUGGAUCAUUACAACAAGUAUAUCACUGUACUUUCACCAUUUGUGCACUGUAGCGUGCCGCUGGCACUCGAGGUGCUUCGGCGUGCGCGUCUCUUUCACCAACAAACUGAACACUGUAACAUACAAAGCAGCAUAAAACUUUUAGCAACGGAUCUCUAGGCUCUCGCAUCGAUGAGAACGCAGC